UACGUAGGGUGCAAGCGUUGUCCGGAAUUAUUGGGCGUAAAGAGCUCGUAGGCGGCCAACUAAGUCGGAUGUGAAAUCCCCAGGCUCAACUUGGGAACUGCAUCCGAUACUGGAUGGCUUGAAUUCGGGAGAGGGAUGCAGAAUUCCAGGUGUAGCGGUGAAAUGCGUAGAUAUCUGGAGGAACACCGGUGGCGAAGGCGGCAUCCUGGACCGAAAUUGACGCUGAGGCGCGAAAGCCAGGGGAGCAAACGGG
This 253-nucleotide ribosomal RNA is filed under the name uncultured bacterium. Its description in RNAcentral is "partial 16S ribosomal RNA". It matches the Rfam family "Bacterial small subunit ribosomal RNA", at positions 524 to 776 of the family's 1533-position model. The record is from RNAcentral.